AUGGUGCUUAUGGUGGUGCUCAGGAGUGGACACGGCACUUGGCCACACACCCCAGACACGGUGCUCAGCCACAUGUGUGGGCAUGGUGCUGAGCUGGGCUGUGUGGACACAGCGCUCGGCCAAGGGGCUUGGACAUGGAGCAUGGACAUGGUGGUUGGGCACAGAGCAUGGACACGGUGUUUGCCCAGAGCAGGGACACGGUGGUUGCCCAGAGCAUUGACAUGGUGGUUGGGCACGGAGCAGGGACAUGAUGGUUGCCCACCCUGCAUGGGCAUGGCGCACAGUUUGGUGAUGCUCGGGCACCGGGCACCCCCAAGGCACCACCUGGCCAACCCUGUGCUCCUGGUGCUGAGCACUGUGCCAGCACCACAUCCAUCCCGUGUCCAUCCCGUGUCCAUCCCGUGUCCAUCUCAUGUCCAUCUCAUGUCCAUCCCAUCUCCAGCACCGUGUCCAUCCCGUGUCCAUCCUGUGUCCAGCACCGUGUCCAGCCCUGUCCAGGCUCCCGCAGCUCCUCGCUCUCAUCCCCUCCUGCCUCCCCCCGCUCCUCCCGCCUCUUUCUUUUCCCCUUCCCCUUUUUUUGGGUUGAUUUUCCUUUUUUUGGGGUUUCUUGGUGCUACUUUUCCCCCGUGCCCCCCAGCAGAUACCUCAGCCCCCAGCCCCGGGUGCAGCUUGUCCGGGAUCAGGGAUCCUCUCCCGCAUUUCCGAGAUCCUCUCCCACAUUUCCGAGAUCCUCUCCCACAUUUCUGGGAUCCUCUCCUGAAUUUCUGGGAUCAGGGGUCCUCUCCAUUUUCCAUCCUUUUCCCUUUUCCCUUUCCCACCCGGGUUUUCCCCAUUUCUGCGCCUCCUUCAGGGAUUUUCGACCCCGCCGCAAUUUCCUCAUUUGGGUUCCGGGAGCGAGGAGGGGUUUUGGGUCAGUGGGAUUUUUUGUUCUGGAACUGUUAUUUUAUUUUAUUUUAUUUUAUUUUAUUUUAUUUUAUUUUAUUUUAUUUUAUUUUGAUAUUCUUUUUUUUUAAUUCUAUUCUAUUUUAUUUUGUCUUAUUUUAUUUUGGAAAUUCUAUUUUUUUUUUUGCUUGAUUUGACUUGAUUUAAUUUGAUUUGGAAAUUUUAUUUUAUUUUAUUUUAUUUUAUUUUAUUUUAUUUUAUUUUAUUUUUUAUUUUAUUUUUUAUUUUACUUUAUUUUAUUUUAAUUUUUAUUUUAUUUUUUUGCACCAUGGCAAUUCCAAAUUUACAACCCAAGUGUUGUUUCUUCUGGGAUCCAGGAAUUCGGCCGGAGGCGGGGCGGCUCUUCCGGCGCUUUUGGGGAAUUUUUGGGGAUUUUUUGGGGAUUUUUUUCCUGGGGUGUUCCAGUGGUUUUUUGGGAUUUCUUUUCAGAUUUUUUCUGGGGUGUUCCGGCGUUAUUUGGGAUUUAUUUGGGGAUUUUUUCUGGGGUAUUCCAGUGCUUUUUGGAGAUUUAUUUGGGGAUUUUUUUCAGGGGUAUUCCAGCGGUUUUUGGGGAUAUUUUUGGGAGUGUUCCAGUGGGGUUUUUUGGGGAUUUUUAGGGUGUAUUCUGGCACAUUUUGGGAUUUUUGGGGAGAUUUUUUUUGGCGUCUUCCGGCAUUGUUUGGGAUUUAUUUUGGGAUUUGUUUGGUGGGUAUUCUGGUGUUAUUUGGGAUUUAUUUUGGGAUUUGUUUGGUGGGUAUUCUGGUGUUAUUUGGGAUUUAUUUUGGGGUUUUUUGGGGGGAUUUUUCUUGGGAUAUUCCGGCAUGGUUUGGGAUUUUUUUUUGUGAUUUAUUUUGGGACUUUUUGGGACUGUUCCAGCGUUAUUUGGUAUUUAUUUGGGGGGUUUUUUUUGGAGAUUUUUUUUUUUUUUGGGGGGGUGUUCUGGCGCUUUUUGGGAUUUAUUUUGGGAUUUCUUUUGGGGUUUUUUGGGGUGUUCUGGUGCUUUUUGGGAUUUCUUUUGGGAUUUUUUGGGAGGUAUUCCGUCGCUUUUUGGGAUUUAUUUGAGGCUGUUCCGGCGUUAUUUGGGAUUUAUUUUGGGAUUUCUUUUGGGGUUUUUUGGGGGUGUUCUGGUGCUUUUUGGGGUGUUCUGGGGACGGCGGCAGCUGCAGGGGAGGCACCGGGGGGUCCCAAACCCUUUGGGGUUCCUGGCUGGGCUCGGUCUGGGGUUACUUGAAAUGAAGUUUCGGGGCGGAUCAAGGAGCGGUAGAAUUUUUUCCCACGUCUCAAGGCAAUAGGAUUAAUUAAUUAAUGAAUUAAUUAACAUGUAAUUAAACUGUAGAUACUCCUAGGACAGGAAAUCGAUGCCGAUAAUUUUAUUUUGUAUCAUUUUCCCUUUCUCUCUGUGUUGUUUUUCCCCCUUUUCCCUCCUUUUCUUUCCCCCAAUGUUUCAAUAAAUUUAUUUUUUAGGAUUCCUAAAAAUCGCA
RNAcentral lists this long non-coding RNA (2402 nucleotides) under Serinus canaria (Common canary). Its description in RNAcentral is "lncRNA (ENSSCAG00000004249.1)". The record is from RNAcentral. Lineage: Eukaryota; Metazoa; Chordata; Aves; Passeriformes; Fringillidae.